AGAGUUUGAUCCUGGCUCAGGAUGAACGCUGGCGGCGUGCUUAACACAUGCAAGUCGAACGAAGCACUUAUCUUUGAUUCUUCGGAUGAAGAGGUUUGUGACUGAGUGGCGGACGGGUGAGUAACGCGUGGGUAACCUGCCUCAUACAGGGGGAUAACAGUUAGAAAUGACUGCUAAUACCGCAUAAGACCACGGAGCUGCAUGGCUCAGUGGGAAAAACUCCGGUGGUAUGAGAUGGACCCGCGUCUGAUUAGGUAGUUGGUGGGGUAACGGCCUACCAAGCCAACGAUCAGUAGCCGACCUGAGAGGGUGACCGGCCACAUUGGGACUGAGACACGGCCCAAACUCCUACGGGAGGCAGCAGUGGGGAAUAUUGCACAAUGGGGGAAACCCUGAUGCAGCGACGCCGCGUGAGCGAAGAAGUAUUUCGGUAUGUAAAGCUCUAUCAGCAGGGAAGAAAAUGACGGUACCUGGCUAAGAAGCACCGGCUAAAUACGUGCCAGCAGCCGCGGUAAUACGUAUGGUGCAAGCGUUAUCCGGAUUUACUGGGUGUAAAGGGAGCGUAGACGGCUGUGUAAGUCUGAAGUGAAAGCCCGGGGCUCAACCCCGGGACUGCUUUGGAAACUAUGCAGCUAGAGUGUCGGAGAGGUAAGUGGAAUUCCCAGUGUAGCGGUGAAAUGCGUAGAUAUUGGGAGGAACACCAGUGGCGAAGGCGGCUUACUGGACGAUGACUGACGUUGAGGCUCGAAAGCGUGGGGAGCAAACAGGAUUAGAUACCCUGGUAGUCCACGCCGUAAACGA
Molecule: ribosomal RNA, 801 nt
Filed under: uncultured bacterium
Lineage: Bacteria
Description: bacterial SSU rRNA
Rfam family: Bacterial small subunit ribosomal RNA
Source: RNAcentral